UACGGAGGAUGCAAGCGUUAUCCGGAAUGAUUGGGCGUAAAGCGUCCGCAGGUGGCUAUGUAAGUCUGCUGUUAAAGAGUGAGGCUCAACCUCAUAAGAGCAGUGGAAACUACAUGGCUAGAGUGCGUUCGGGGCAGAGGGAAUUCCUGGUGUAGCGGUGAAAUGCGUAGAGAUCAGGAAGAACACCGGUGGCGAAAGCGGUCUGCUGGGCCAGUACUGACGCUGAGGUACGAAAGCGUGGGUAGCGAACGGG
RNAcentral lists this ribosomal RNA (253 nucleotides) under uncultured bacterium. RNAcentral describes it as "partial 16S ribosomal RNA". It matches the Rfam family "Bacterial small subunit ribosomal RNA", at positions 524 to 776 of the family's 1533-position model. The record is from RNAcentral.